GACAGAGGGUGCAAACGUUGUUCGGAAUUACUGGGCGUAAAGCGCGUGUAGGCUGCUCUGCAAGUCGGAUGUGAAAUCCCUGGGCUCAACCUAGGAACUGCAUUCGAAACUGGUCACCUAGAGUGAUGGAGAGGAAAGCGGAAUUCCCGGUGUAGAGGUGAAAUUCGUAGAUAUCGGGAGGAACACCAGUGGCGAAGGCGGCUUUCUGGACAUUUACUGACGCUGAGACGCGAAAGCGUGGGGAGCAAACAGG
Molecule: ribosomal RNA, 253 nt
Filed under: uncultured bacterium
Lineage: Bacteria
Description: partial 16S ribosomal RNA
Rfam family: Bacterial small subunit ribosomal RNA
Source: RNAcentral